Molecule: ribosomal RNA, 253 nt
Filed under: uncultured bacterium
Lineage: Bacteria
Description: partial 16S ribosomal RNA
Rfam family: Bacterial small subunit ribosomal RNA
Source: RNAcentral
UACAGAGGGUGCAAGCGUUAAUCGGAUUUACUGGGCGUAAAGCGUGCGUAGGAGGUCGCGUAAGUCGGUUGUGAAAUCCCUGGGCUCAACCUGGGAAUUGCUUCCGAUACUGCGGGACUAGAGUUCGGUAGAGGGUGGCGGAACUCCCGGUGUAGCGGUGAAAUGCGUAGAUAUCGGGAAGAACAUCGAUGGCGAAGGCAACCACCUGGGCCUGAACUGACUCUGAGGCACGAAAGCGUGGGGAGCAAACAGG